UGCCAGCAGCCGCGGUAAUACGAAGGGUGCUAGCGUUGUUCGGAAUUACUGGGCGUAAAGAGCAUGUAGGCGGAUGAAUUAGUCAGAGGUGAAAGCCCCGAGCUCAACUUGGGAACUGCCUUUGAUACUGUUUAUCUAGAGUCCGAGAGAGGUUAGUGGAAUUCCCAGUGUAGAGGUGAAAUUCGUAGAUAUUUGAAGGAACAUCAGUGGCGAAGGCGACCUCCUGGACUGAUAUUGACGCUGAGGUGCGAAAGCGUGGGGAGCAAACAGGAUUAGAUA
RNAcentral lists this ribosomal RNA (279 nucleotides) under uncultured bacterium. Its description in RNAcentral is "partial 16S ribosomal RNA". It matches the Rfam family "Bacterial small subunit ribosomal RNA", at positions 506 to 784 of the family's 1533-position model. The record is from RNAcentral.